Long non-coding RNA from Lycium ferocissimum, 1474 nucleotides. RefSeq lists it as uncharacterized. The record is from RefSeq and is a predicted model, not a curated record. The transcript is spliced from 3 exons. NCBI's taxonomy places the organism in Eukaryota, Viridiplantae, Streptophyta, Magnoliopsida, Solanales, Solanaceae.
UAAAGAAACAAUGUGUUGUUAAAAUGCCUAAUUUAAUAUCAUUUAUAAAGGCACAUGUGUUUCAAAUAUUGAUUUUUAAUUUUUCAUAAUUAAAUGUUAUUUUUAAAUUAAAGUAACUGUGUAAUUACAUUUGUGCAACCAAACAACAUGCUGCAGCGGUCCAUUUUGACCAGUAGCUCGGGUUUUUGCACCAGUUUUCACCCAAAAUCCAACAUCAAUCCAAGGCCUUACAGACGCAAACAAAACAUGCACAAAUAUAUAAAAACACGCUACGGACUCAACCGCAGCCUCAGAAUUCCCAACGGAGGUCUAGUUUUCUAAGUCACCCCGUAACGACCUAGCAGGUCAUUACAGUUAAGAAUAUGGUUGAUAUACGUAUGGUUGUACAUCAAAACUAACUAAUAUAUAAUAAUUUAUAUUUAAUAAAUUAUUACUUGUAAGUUUUAAUAUAACAAAUAAUUAUGUAAUUUUAUUUAAUUGAUUUUGAAUAUCUAAUUAUAGCACAAUUAAUAUCCAUGUGCUUGUAUCUAACUACAUUGAUCACUAAUUAUAUUAAAUUUAAAUUAUCAUAUACAUUAUUGAUUUUAUGAUGUAAAUGCAAUAUUAAUAACUUACUAGUUAUCAUAAAUCUAAUUGAACAUUAAAAAACAACAAAUAUAUUUCAUAAUUUUUUUCAUACACAUAAUUAAUUUAUUUUGUCCUGCUUAAUGUAGUUAUGAUUCUUUUUGUUUUUUUAUAGGUAUACUUAAUUGUCAUUGUUGUUAUCUUAUUUACAUUAUCGUAUUUGCAUAUAAAAAAAAAAAAUAGAAGACAUAUAUAAAACAAGAAAAGAAUGGCAAUUAACUAAAGCUAAAAAUCCAAAACCUAAUCCUCAUAUUUUUUUUACCUCCAGCCGCCACAACCCUCUACGGUUCCUUAUUCCCUUUGUCAAUUCCACCCCAAAUCUUAUUCCAUAUCAAAAAAUCAUAAGGGGUUUUCUGGUGUUAUGUAAUGGAGUUGGGUAAAUGACUAAUCAAUUUUUUUUUAGAAUGGAGGGGCAAAAGUGUUGCCUAUAUUUUAAGUGAUGGUUUCUCUGUAUUAAAUCUACAUCAGCAAGAACUCCAUAAAUGGUCUAUCAUAAAUUUGAAGCAGGUUCUGAAAUGCGAUUAAGGAGAUGCUAUUGAUCGCUUUUGAUAGAAUUAUCUUGAUCUUUCUCCAAGGUACAUUUAUGGAAUUACUAUAGCAGAAGCAAUGACAAACUAGAGGGUAGAUAUUGAUCAAAGUAAGAUUGGAGGCUGCGUGGGAGGAGAGAAAUCAGAAGGUUGUGCGGCUUUGAGUCUCAAGCAAGAUACUACUAUUGUAAUUGGUGUCAUAGAAGAAUUAUGUAUUGUGAAUGUUUGAAAUUUUAGAUAUGUAACUAUAUGUAAAUUGAAACUUACUCUAUAUGUAAAUUGAAACUUACUCUGGAAUCCAAUUUUUUUUCAUUUGUAUAGAA